RNAcentral lists this long non-coding RNA (1651 nucleotides) under Equus asinus (donkey). RNAcentral describes it as "lncRNA (ENSEASG00005032252.1)". The record is from RNAcentral. Lineage: Eukaryota; Metazoa; Chordata; Mammalia; Perissodactyla; Equidae.
AUAAAUAUCAAUCAAUAGGGCCUAUGGUAGGCAGAAUAAUGCGCCCCCCCCAGAUGUCCACAUCCUGAUCCCCAGAAUCUUUGACUGUGUUACAUGGCAAGAGGGAAUCAAAGUUGCAGAUGGAAUUAAGGUUGUUAACCAACUGACCUUGAGAUGGAGAGAGGAUCCUGAUUAUCCAGGUGGGCCCAAUAUAAUCAUGAGGGUCCUUAAAAGUGGAAGAGGGCUGCAGGAGAGUCGGUGUCGGAGGGAUGUGGCAUGCAAAAGACUAUCUACCAUGGCUGGCUCUAAAGAUGGAAGGAGGCCGUGAGCCAACGGAUGCAGCAUUUCCUAGAAGGUGGAAAAGAACAUAGAAGCUGAAAGACCGGGAGAGAAGGAUCACUUUCGUAUAGGCCUGGUAACCCCAUGACUGCCUGCAAUCAAGAAAAUUGUACCACAUAAACCACUGUUCAGAGAGAAUGCUGUUCGUUCGCCGGUAUCUUUUUUUUUCUUCUGGGCACGCAGCUAGGCUGUAUUUCCCAGUCUCCUCUGCUGUUAGGUGGAGCCAUAUAACUGAGUUCUGGCCAACGGAACAAGAGGCAAUCAUGGGUCUAGUGGCUGGAUGUGGAGACCUGGUGAACUCCAAGACCCUGGAGAUUGGUGAAGCCCCUAGACUGGAAGCAUCCUGGGUUCCUAAGUUGCCAUGUGGAAUAAAGCUACCCAGGAGACCCACCCAACCACAGACACCUGUGUUGGACUGUUUCAGGCCUUUGGAUUCUGACUGAAUUAUACCACCAGGAUUCCUGGGUCUCCAGCUUGCAGAGGGCAGCCUGUGGGACUUCUCACCCUCUGCAAUCACAUGAGCCAAUUCCUCAUAAUAUCUAUAUACUAUAUACCACGUAGCAUACAUCCACUUGUCCUAUUGGUUCUGUUUUCUGGAGAAACCCUGACUACUAGAGUUGUUGCUGAUGCUGUGGAUAGUGCUAUUUUAAACAGAUAAAUUGUCUAGUACAUGUAUUUUUUCCCACCUUGUCUGAUUGUCUCCUUUAAGUGACUUCCUAGGUCCCAGGAUCUCUUGGUCCAGGGGCAUGAACGUUUUUAAGGCCUUCCUAUAUCCUGCCUAAUUGAACUCUAAGACAGUUAUAAAAAAUGAAGCAACUCUCAGGUAGAGAUAUAUAGAAGUGACAUCUAAACUUCUGGCUAAUGUUUCUCAAACUGAGUAUUUUAGAAUUGUUCAGUUUUCUCCAAAAUGUGCUUUCUUAGGAUUGCCAGCUUGUCCAUCCAUGUGGAAAGCUGAGGGCUUCAUUAGAGAAGAGUCCUCCUCCUGUGUCUCUUCAGCUUUCUGAGCCGGGAGCAGCCCCUGCUUAAACAGUGCCCGCUUCUCAUUAAUGUCUCCAGGGCUCUUGCAAUAUCCCCAGCUCCGUUUUAAUGAGUCAGCGAUUUCCUUGAAAUGGCAUGAAGUCAAAGCAGGGCUUCCAGGCUGCCAGCACAGUGACACUGAGAAGCCAAGUCACCAAGACUAGAGCUGAAAGAGAAUCCAAGAAACCAUUUGGCCCAACUUUCUGGCUUCAGGCAAAUAAGAUGUUCCAUCAGCAGAAGAGUUUUAGAAGAUCUAGACAGCCUUUGGCAAGGAAUGGUGUCUCUCUAGUCAUUGUGUUAAGCAAAAAGAGAAAAC